GGUUAGGCUUAGUCAAUUUUUGAUUUGAUUAAGAUUUUAUUGAGCCUAAUUAAGCCUAAUUGUGUUGAGUUUAACUUAGUCUAAUUGUGCCUAACCUAUUUUGAUAAAGUUGGUUCAAUUAGAUUGGUUUAAAAUUUCAAACCACCUUUGACUUAUCUCCCUGCGCCACCUCACCCACCUGCACCUAUUUGAAUUCAUGAGAAACAAAUUCUUGUGAAUUUUCUCCCAUGC
RNAcentral lists this long non-coding RNA (231 nucleotides) under Elaeis guineensis (African oil palm). Its description in RNAcentral is "long non-coding RNA (EGUI_LNC053153)". Lineage: Eukaryota; Viridiplantae; Streptophyta; Magnoliopsida; Arecales; Arecaceae. The record is from RNAcentral.